RNAcentral lists this long non-coding RNA (1070 nucleotides) under Neodiprion pinetum (white pine sawfly). RNAcentral's name for it is "uncharacterized LOC124212860". Lineage: Eukaryota; Metazoa; Arthropoda; Insecta; Hymenoptera; Diprionidae. The record is from RNAcentral.
GUUGCCGAUGGAGGUGGCAACUCUGCCGAUUGUGGUAGUGGUGGUAUGUCUAAGGUCGGCGAUCCCGUUUGAGGAGCAGGCCCUUGUUUUUUUUCUUGAAAGCGAAAAAUCUCACUCGGUCCUCUUGCAUUUUUGAAAGAAAAAUUCGAACGCGCUCGUUCGCCUCGGCAUUUCAAUUUUCGAUAACGGAAUUUUUGUCCCACGAAAAAUCGAAUGAAUUAUGAGUCGUUAUUUUUUUUUUUUUGUACUGGGGACAAAGAAAAACGAUGCCUGUAAUCGUCUGUUUGAAAUUUGUUGUUACGAUCGAUAUACAGAUAUAUUUAUCAAGCCAAUAUAAUACAAUACGGAAAAGUAACUUGGUGUAUAAUCGUGGGAGAAAUAUUUAUAACGGUAAUCUUUUAACUGGUGAUUAAGUUUGUCAGAAAUAAAUCUGUCCGAUGGUUAAAAAAUUUUUACUAAUUACUUUGUCUACUUCUAGUCACGGUUGUUUUUUAUCAGAUUUAAAAAUAUCGCUCUUUUGGCCACAAAUACAAUGUUUUCUUUUAAGAAUAUUGGCGAUUUCUGGCGAAACAGAUAUAAUAAAACUAUGCAUUACGAACGAAAUACCGACACCGGUAGCCAAUGCGUCGAUUGCAUUAGCAGUUUUAAAAUUUCAGACUGAGAAUAAACAUUUCCGAAUAUCUGACAACUCCGUGUUAUACGUGACAAACGUGACACAAUUGCUAAAUACCGUUGAUAAACUGAAUCGAUAAUAGAAUAGAAACUACGAACGAUAUUCGCAGGCUUCGUUUAUUUUCGUUUCCGUAAGGUCCGUAAUAAUAUUUCAAACGAAUACCAAGGAUUGCCUCAUAUUCCGAUUUGUUUAUGGUACGUUAACACACUUUUCACAACUCGACAUUGCUCGAUAUGUGAUCGACGAGAAGGUACACAUAACAUGAAAGUGAUAAUCGGAAAUAACAAAAAAAAAACCUAUUCUCACCAUCGUUAUCUUUAUUAGCGCCAAUCAACUAGCAGCUCAUCCCAUAUUAUAGAUUCUCCAUCUCGCUACGCGAAAUUGACGAUAAUGAGAA